CAUUUGUCUACGGGUGCCCCUAGUAUUGUCCAAAAAAGUUUUGGUUAAUUAUGUCGCUAUGCUAAUGGAAAUUGUGAAAUAAAAAAGAUAGCUGACAUAGUGUGGUUAUUAUCCAUUCAUCUGAUGUGCGAAAGCAGAUGUGAAGGAUUGCCAAGGAUUUCAACUAUGUGAACAUCAGCAUUGUAAUUAAUUAAGCACCUUAAAUUUUCCUUUCCUAUUGUAUAAUUGUCUUCCCUAACCUCGACCAAACCGCGAGUCUUCCGGUUCCCUAAAACUAACAUUACUGUAAAAGAAUAAUGAAAAACUGUAUUCAAAAACAUGAUGCAGGCUCCGUAAUGCUUUACGGAAAAUAAGCCUUCCAAAUAAAUGUUAAUUGAAAAAAAAA
This is a long non-coding RNA of Armigeres subalbatus, 385 nucleotides long. RefSeq lists it as uncharacterized. The transcript is spliced from 2 exons. NCBI's taxonomy places the organism in Eukaryota, Metazoa, Arthropoda, Insecta, Diptera, Culicidae. The record is from RefSeq and is a predicted model, not a curated record.